GGAGAAGGAGGAGGAGGAUGAGGAGGAGGAGGAGCAGAAGAUGGUAUUUCCGCUGUUGCAUUGCCUAUCCAUUUGGCAGAUACAAAGGAAGUGGACACGGACGAAUGAAACAAAGAUGGCGCAAGUGGCUUUUUUAAGAGAAGAAAAAAAAAGAAAAAAAGAAGUGAUCUAAUUGCAAAUAGUUGCGUACUCCAGCGUUCAUCCCCACCCCCGUUUGCUUGCUCACCGAAAGCUAGCGUUUCUGUACGGUUUGUUGCGUAACGGUGCAGAGUCAUGCGAUAGGAUAGGAUGUGUCGUGGGGGUAGAGGGGUAAAAGAGGCAAGAGAGGAGGAAGAUCGGGGCAUAUAGACGAUACCCAUGUCGGAAGGGGACCCAAGAGAGAACCGAGACACGCACCAGAAAAGAGAAAGAGAGAUAGAACAUUCUUCUAAUCGUCGUUAUGCCACCACACCAUUACAGACCUAUCGGAAAGCUUUUCUUCCUCCAUUCUGCCCUUGGAUGUUCAAC
Molecule: long non-coding RNA, 507 nt
Filed under: Polistes dominula (European paper wasp)
Lineage: Eukaryota; Metazoa; Arthropoda; Insecta; Hymenoptera; Vespidae
Description: uncharacterized LOC107068628, transcript variant X1
Source: RNAcentral